Molecule: ribosomal RNA, 748 nt
Filed under: uncultured fungus
Lineage: Eukaryota; Fungi
Description: eukaryotic LSU rRNA
Rfam family: 5.8S ribosomal RNA (bases 278-431)
Source: RNAcentral
AAGUCGUAACAAGGUUUCCGUAGGUGAACCUGCGGAAGGAUCAUUGCCGAACGGACGCGCGCCGCCUCUGCCCUCCUCGCUUCCGCGAGUGGCGGCCCGGCCGCGUCUUAUCGCACACCCAUGUGAACUCGUGAUCGUGACCCUGGACGGUGGCGGCCCGCCGCCGCCGAUCCGGCUCCCUUCUCAAUCAACCACAACGUACCCACUUGUCUGAGACAAACACAGGUGAAGUCGCGCCUCNAAACGCGGCUCUCGCCGACAAGACAUAACCUAUUACAACUUUUAACAACGGAUAUCUUGGCUCGCGCAUCGAUGAAGAACGCANCGAAAUGCGAUAAGUAGUGUGAAUUGCAGAUCAAGCGAAUCAUCGAAGUUUUGAACGCAAGUUGCGGUGCAUGGAUCUUCCGUGCACCAUGCCUGCUUGAGUGUCUGUAACCCACCUCGAGCGGCGGCCGCCUUUCACGGGCGGCCGUGCGGCUCGGAUCUGGACGCUCCGCGCCCCAAGGCGACAUCCGUGUCGCCGCAGGCCCGGUCGCCUCAAGUGNAGACGCCGUCCGAACGCGCGCUCGCGUCGUGACNCCNNNACGCGGUAAGGGAUCUAACCGUUCCUCCUAACGUUGAGGCGCUUCAUUGCUCGCGCACGCUCGGUGACACAGCGGCGGCAAAGGAACCGACUGCCNCCACACAACGGCGGCAGUCAUCCAUCAACAUUUGACCUCAAGUCAGGCAAGAGGACCCGCUGGAUUUA